UGAGCAAUCUGCCCUUCUCAUCGGAAUAAGCGUUGGAAACGACGUCUAAUGCCGAAUACGACCUCCUUUCGCAUGAUCGGAGGUGGAAAGCUCCGGCGGAGAAGGAUGAGCUCGCGGCCUAUCAGCUAGUUGGUGUGGGUAAUGGCCUACCAAGGCAACGACGGGUAGCUGGUCUGAGAGGAUGGCCAGCCACAUUGGGACUGAGACACCGGCCCAAACCGUCGUACGGGACGG
RNAcentral lists this ribosomal RNA (234 nucleotides) under uncultured bacterium. RNAcentral's name for it is "partial 16S ribosomal RNA". It matches the Rfam family "Bacterial small subunit ribosomal RNA", at positions 118 to 348 of the family's 1533-position model. The record is from RNAcentral.